Pan troglodytes (chimpanzee) is the source of this 444-nucleotide long non-coding RNA. RefSeq lists it as uncharacterized. The transcript is spliced from 3 exons. The record is from RefSeq and is a predicted model, not a curated record. Lineage: Eukaryota; Metazoa; Chordata; Mammalia; Primates; Hominidae.
GUUCAGCAUCUCCAGAGAUGAGCUUUCCAAAUACCUGAUGAAGAUAUGCAUGUGAGAAGGAAUUAAUGACAGGCAUUAACACUAUAUUGGCCAGAGGACUCAUUAGCUGAUUCCGCAGGAUAUGUGGAUACAAAAUUACCUCAGGGCCAUUUGCUGUAAUGAACUGCCGCUGGGGAGAGACAUCAUAAGGUCUGAGAUGGUCUGCAGCAAGCGGUGAAAGGUGUGUGGUAAAGGAUGAGCAGCUUCCCCGGCAAUCACUAUGUCUGAGAGUGGAUGUUCACAUACUCUUGUAUCUUUCUCCUAAGGCAGAAAUUGAAACAAGUUUAUCAGUUUGUGUGCUGGAAGGAAUCGUCUUCACAAAAGACAAUUAUCUUACCAAACCAUUCUCUAAGAAGCUGCUACUCCACAGCAAAGAAUGUUUGUUCUUCCAUCUUGCUACCAAUG